This 254-nucleotide ribosomal RNA is filed under the name uncultured bacterium. RNAcentral describes it as "partial 16S ribosomal RNA". It matches the Rfam family "Bacterial small subunit ribosomal RNA", at positions 524 to 776 of the family's 1533-position model. The record is from RNAcentral.
GACGGAGGGGGCAAGCGUUGUUCGGAAUUAUUGGGCGUAAAGGGCUCGUAGGCGGAUCUGAAAGUCUGACGUGAAAUCUCCACCGCUCACCGGGGAGGGGCCGUUGGAUACUACAGAUCUGGAGUUCGGUAGAGGGUCGUGGAAUUUCGGGUGUAGCGGUGGAAUGCGUAGAUAUCUGGAGGAACACCGGUGGCGAAGGCGGCGUUCUGGACUGCAACUGACACUGAUGAACGAAAGCCAGGGGAGCAAACGGG